AGUGAAUAGAUACCCGGGUAGUCCACGCCCUAAACGAUGUCAACUAGGUGUUGGGUGGGUAAAACCAUUUAGUACCGUAGCUAAACGCGUGAAAGUUGACCGCCUGGGGAGUACGGCCGCAAGGUUAAAACUCAAAGGAAUUGACGGGGACCCGCACAAGCGGUGGAUGAUGUGGAUUAAUUCGAUGCAACGCGAAAAACCUUACCUACCCUUGACAUGCCAGGAACUUGCCAGAGAUGGCUUGGUGCCCGAAAGGGAGCUUGGACACAGGUGCUGCAUGGCUGUCGUCAGCUCGUGUCGUGAGAUGUUGGGUUAAGUCCCGCAACGAGCGCAACCCUUGUCGUUAAUUGCCAUCAUUUGGUUGGGCACUUUAACGAGACUGCCGGUGACAAACCGGAGGAAGGUGGGGAUGACGUCAAGUCCUCAUGGCCCUUAUGGGUAGGGCUUCACACGUCAUACAAUGGUCGGUACAGAGGGUUGCCAAGCCGCGAGGCGGAGCCAAUCCCAGAAAGCCGAUCGUAGUCCGGAUUGCAGGCUGCAACUCGCCUGC
RNAcentral lists this ribosomal RNA (550 nucleotides) under uncultured bacterium. RNAcentral describes it as "bacterial SSU rRNA". It matches the Rfam family "Bacterial small subunit ribosomal RNA", at positions 774 to 1319 of the family's 1533-position model. The record is from RNAcentral.